GGGGGGGGGGGGGGGGGGGGGUGGGAGCGGCGGGUCGGGGGGGGGGGGGGGGCUUGCGCCGGGAGGCAGCGGCGGACGGGUGAGGAAGGCCUAGGAAUCUGCCUGGGGGUGGGGGAUAACGUCCGGACACGGGCGGUAAUACCGCAUCGGACCUGCGGGAGAAAGUGGGUGAUCUUCGGACCUCACGCUAUCAGCUUAUCCUAGGUCGGAUGAGCUAGUUGGUGGGGUAAAGGCCUACCAAGGCGACGAUCCGUCACUGGUCUGAGAGGAUGAUCAGUCACACUGGAACUGAGACACGGUCCAGACUCCUACGGGAGGCAGCAGUGGGGAAUAUUGGACAAUGGGCGAAAGCCUGAUCCAGCCAUGCCGCGUGUGUGAAGAAGGUCUUCGGAUUGUAAAGCACUUUAAGUUGGGAGGAAGGGCAGUAAGUUAAUACCUUGCUGUUUUGACGUUACCAACAGAAUAAGCACCGGCUAACUUCGUG
Molecule: ribosomal RNA, 484 nt
Filed under: uncultured bacterium
Lineage: Bacteria
Description: partial 16S ribosomal RNA
Rfam family: Bacterial small subunit ribosomal RNA
Source: RNAcentral